UGGCUCAGACAGUAAAGCAUCUGCCUGCAAUGCAGGAGACCCAGGUUCAAUCCCUGG
RNAcentral lists this transfer RNA (57 nucleotides) under Bos taurus (domestic cattle). It matches the Rfam family "tRNA", at positions 8 to 63 of the family's 71-position model. From Rfam's summary of the family: Transfer RNA (tRNA) molecules are approximately 80 nucleotides in length. Their secondary structure includes four short double-helical elements and three loops (D, anti-codon, and T loops). The record is from Rfam by way of RNAcentral. Lineage: Eukaryota; Metazoa; Chordata; Mammalia; Artiodactyla; Bovidae. RNAcentral also lists the same sequence under 5 other names.